AGAUUGAACGCUGGCGGCAUGCCUUACACAUGCAAGUCGACGGGCAGCACGGGUGCUUGCACCUGGUGGCGAGUGGCGAACGGGUGAGUAAUACAUCGGAACAUGUCCUGUAGUGGGGGAUAGCCCGGCGAAAGCCGGAUUAAUACCGCAUACGAUCUACGGAUGAAAGCGGGGGACCUUCGGGCCUCGCGCUAUAGGGUUGGCCGAUGGCUGAUUAGCUAGUUGGUGGGGUAAAGGCCUACCAAGGCGACGAUCAGUAGCUGGUCUGAGAGGACGACCAGCCACACUGGGACUGAGACACGGCCCAGACUCCUACGGGAGGCAGCAGUGGGGAAUUUUGGACAAUGGGCGAAAGCCUGAUCCAGCAAUGCCGCGUGUGUGAAGAAGGCCUUCGGGUUGUAAAGCACUUUUGUCCGGAAAGAAAUCCUUGGUUCUAAUAUAGCCGGGGGAUGACGGUACCGGAAGAAUAAGCACCGGCUAACUACGUGCCAGCAGCCGCGGUAAUACGUAGGGUGCGAGCGUUAAUCGGAAUUACUGGGCGUAAAGCGUGCGCAGGCGGUUUGUUAAGACCGAUGUGAAAUCCCCGGGCUCAACCUGGGAACUGCAUUGGUGACUGGCAAGCUAGAGUAUGGCAGAGGGGGGUAGAAUUCCACGUGUAGCAGUGAAAUGCGUAGAGAUGUGGAGGAAUACCGAUGGCGAAUGCAGCCCCCUGGGCCAAUACUGACGCUCAUGCACCAAAGUGAGCAAACAGGAUUAGAUACCCUGGUAGUCCACGCCCUCAUGUCAACUAGUUGUUGGGGAUUCAUUUCCUUAGUAACGUAGCUAACGCGUGAAGUUGACCGCCUGGGGAGUACGGUCGCAAGAUUAAAACUCAAGGGAAUUGACGGGGACCCGCACAAGCGGUGGAUGAUGUGGAUUAAUUCGAUGCAACGCGAAAAACCUUACCUACCCUUGACAUGGUCGGAAUCCCGCUGAGAGGUGGGAGUGCUCGAAAGAGAACCGGCGCACAGGUGCUGCAUGGC
This 1022-nucleotide ribosomal RNA is filed under the name soil bacterium S9. RNAcentral's name for it is "bacterial SSU rRNA". It matches the Rfam family "Bacterial small subunit ribosomal RNA", at positions 26 to 1049 of the family's 1533-position model. The record is from RNAcentral.